RNAcentral lists this ribosomal RNA (478 nucleotides) under uncultured bacterium. Its description in RNAcentral is "partial 16S ribosomal RNA". It matches the Rfam family "Bacterial small subunit ribosomal RNA", at positions 28 to 507 of the family's 1533-position model. The record is from RNAcentral.
GAUGAACGCUGGCGGCGUGCCUAACACAUGCAAGUCGAACGGAGUCCAGCCUUUAAGACCUUCGGGUCAAAGAGGGGAAGACUGAGUGGCGGACGGGUGAGUAACACGUGGGCAACCUGGCUCAUAGAGGGGGAUAACAGAGAGAAAUUUCUGCUAAUACCGCAUAAGCACACACUGCCGCAUGGCAGAGGGUGAAAAGAGAAUCGCUAUGAGAUGGACCCGCGUCUGAUUAGCCAGUUGGCAGGGUAAGAGCCUACCAAAGCGACGAUCAGUAGCCGAUCUGAGAGGAUGAACGGCCACAUUGGGACUGAGACACGGCCCAAACUCCUACGGGAGGCAGCAGUGGGGGAUAUUGCACAAUGGGGGGAACCCUGAUGCAGCGACGCCGCGUGAGUGAAGAAGUAUUUCGGGAUGUAAAGCUCUAUCAGCAGGGAAGAUAAUGACAGUACCUGAAUAAGAAGCCCCGGCUAACUACGUG